RNAcentral lists this ribosomal RNA (265 nucleotides) under uncultured archaeon. RNAcentral's name for it is "partial 16S ribosomal RNA". It matches the Rfam family "Archaeal small subunit ribosomal RNA", at positions 714 to 982 of the family's 1478-position model. The record is from RNAcentral.
AGACGUCUACAUUAGAUACCCCUGUAGUCCCAGCCGUAAACUAUGCGCGUUAGGUGUAUCGGUGACCACGAGUCACCGAGGUGCCGAAGGGAAACCGUGAAACGUGCCGCCUGGGAAGUACGGUCGCAAGGCUAGAAACUUAAAGGAAUUGGCGGGGAGCACCACAACGGGUGGAGCCUGCGGUUUAAUUGGACUCAACGCCGGGAAGCUCACCGGAUAGGACAGCAGAAUGAUUGCCGGGCUGAAGACCCUGCAUGACUAGCUG